RNAcentral lists this ribosomal RNA (514 nucleotides) under uncultured bacterium. RNAcentral describes it as "bacterial SSU rRNA". It matches the Rfam family "Bacterial small subunit ribosomal RNA", at positions 8 to 518 of the family's 1533-position model. The record is from RNAcentral.
AGAGUUGAUCAUGGCUCAGGAUGAACGCUGGCGGCGUGCCUAACACAUGCAAGUCGAACGGGGUUAAGGGAAGUUUCGGAUGGAACUUAACUUAGUGGCGGACGGGUGAGUAACGCGUGGAUAACCUGCCUCGCACUGGGGGAUAGCAGCUGGAAACGGCUGGUAAUACCGCAUAAGACCACGGUGCCGCAUGGCAUUGGGGUAAAAGAUUUAUCGGUGCGAGAUGGAUCCGCGUCUGAUUAGCCAGUUGGCGGGGUAACGGCCCACCAAAGCGACGAUCAGUAGCCGGCCUGAGAGGGUGAACGGCCACAUUGGGACUGAGACACGGCCCAAACUCCUACGGGAGGCAGCAGUGGGGAAUAUUGCACAAUGGGCGCAAGCCUGAUGCAAGCAACGCCGCGUGAGUGAAGAAGUAUUUCGGUAUGUAAAGCUCUAUCGGCAGGGAAGAAAGGCCCGAAAGGGAGAUGACGGUACCUGACUAAGAAGCCCCGGCUAACUACGUGCCAGCCGCCGC